Molecule: ribosomal RNA, 460 nt
Filed under: uncultured bacterium
Lineage: Bacteria
Description: partial 16S ribosomal RNA
Rfam family: Bacterial small subunit ribosomal RNA
Source: RNAcentral
CCUACGGGAGGCAGCAGUGAGGAAUAUUGGUCAAUGGACGCAAGUCUGAACCAGCCAUGCCGCGUGCAGGAAGACGGCUCUAUGAGUUGUAACCUGCUUUUGUACGAGGAUAAACGCAGAUACGCGUAUCUGUAUGAAAGUAUCGUACGAAUAAGGAUCGGCGAACUCCGUGCCAGCAGCCGCGGUAAUACGGAGGAUUCAAGCGUUAUCCGGAUUUAUUGGGUUUAAAGGGUGCGUAGGCGGUCGGAUAAGUUAGAGGUGAAAUCCCGAGGCUCAACUUCGGAAUUGCCUCUGAUACUGUUCGGCUAGAGAGUAGUUGCGGUAGGCGGAAUGUAUGGUGUAGCGGUGAAAUGCUUAGAGAUCAUACAGAACACCGAUUGCGAAGGCAGCUUACCAAGCUACUUCUGACGUUGAGGCACGAAAGCGUGGGGAGCAAACAGGAUUAGAUACCCCAGUAGUC